CGCGACCUCAGGUCAGGCGGGGCUACCCGCUGAGUUUAAGCAUAUCAAUAAGCGGAGGAAAAGAAACUAACGAGGAUUCCCCUAGUAACGCAGGGAUGAGAGAAAAAAUUAUAAAA
RNAcentral lists this ribosomal RNA (116 nucleotides) under Acacia murrayana. RNAcentral describes it as "partial large subunit ribosomal RNA". It matches the Rfam family "Eukaryotic large subunit ribosomal RNA", at positions 1 to 116 of the family's 3401-position model. Lineage: Eukaryota; Viridiplantae; Streptophyta; Magnoliopsida; Fabales; Fabaceae. The record is from RNAcentral.